UAAGGGUUCCUGGGUCAAGCUGAUCUGCCCAGGGUAAGUCGGGACCUAAGGCGAGGCCGACAGGCGUAGUCGAUGGACAACCGGUUGAUAUUCCGGUACCCGCUUUGAAACGCCCAAUACUGAAUCAGGCGAUGCUAAGUCCGUGAAGCCGCCCUGAGCUCUUCGGAGCGUAGGGGAGUGGUGGAGCCGACGAUCCAGACUUGUAKUAGGUAAGCGAUGGGGUGACGCAGGAAGGUAGUCCAGCCCGGGCGGUGGUUGUCCCGGGGUAAGGGUGUAGGCCGUGUGAUAGGCAAAUCCGUCACACGUUAAGGCUGAGACCUGAUGCCGAGCCGAUUGUGGUGAAGUGGAUGAUCCUAUGCUGUCGAGAAAAGCCUCUAGCGAGUUUCAUGGCGGCCCGUACCCUAAACCGACUCAGGUGGUCAGGUAGAGAAUACCGAGGCGUUCGGGUGAACUAUGGUUAAGGAACUCGGCAAAAUGCCCCCGUAACUUCGGGAGAAGGGGGGCCAUUUCCGGUGAUGGAAUUUACUUCCUGAGCUGGGGGUGGCCGCAGAGACCAGCGAGAAGCGACUGUUUACUAAAAACACAGGUCCGUGCGAAGCCGUAAGGCGAUGUAUACGGACUGACGCCUGCCCGGUGCUGGAACGUUAAGGGGACCGGUUAGC
This 662-nucleotide ribosomal RNA is filed under the name Streptomyces roseoverticillatus. Its description in RNAcentral is "bacterial LSU rRNA". It matches the Rfam family "Bacterial large subunit ribosomal RNA", at positions 1347 to 1894 of the family's 2925-position model. The record is from RNAcentral. Lineage: Bacteria; Bacillati; Actinomycetota; Actinomycetes; Kitasatosporales; Streptomycetaceae.